GCUCUGGCCAUUCAAGAUAUCCUUAAAACUGU
Molecule: non-coding RNA, 32 nt
Filed under: Mus musculus (house mouse)
Lineage: Eukaryota; Metazoa; Chordata; Mammalia; Rodentia; Muridae
Source: RNAcentral